UAAGGGCGCACGGUGGAUGCCUUGGCACUAGAAGCCGAUGAAGGACGUUACUAACGACGAUAUGCUUUGGGGAGCUGUAAGUAAGCUUUGAUCCAGAGAUUUCCGAAUGGGGAAACCCAGCAUGAGUUAUGUCAUGUUAUCGAUAUGUGAAUACAUAGCAUAUCAGAAGGCACACCCGGAGAACUGAAACAUCUUAGUACCCGGAGGAAGAGAAAGAAAAUUCGAUUCCCUUAGUAGCGGCGAGCGAAACGGGAAGAGCCCAAACCAACAAGCUUGCUUGUUGGGGUUGUAGGACACUCUAUACGGAGUUACAAAGGACGACAUUAGACGAAUCAUCUGGAAAGAUGAAUCAAAGAAGGUAAUAAUCCUGUAGUCGAAAAUGUUGUCUCUCUUGAGUGGAUCCUGAGUACGACGGAGCACGUGAAAUUCCGUCGGAAUCUGGGAGGACCAUCUCCUAAGGCUAAAUACUCUCUAGUGACCGAUAGUGAACCAGUACCGUGAGGGAAAGGUGAAAAGCACCCCGGAAGGGGAGUGAAAUAGAACCUGAAACCGUGUGCUUACAAGUAGUCAGAGCCCGUUAAUGGGUGAUGGCGUGCCUUUUGUAGAAUGAACCGGCGAGUUACGAUUUGAUGCAAGGUUAAGCAGUAAAUGUGGAGCCGUAGCGAAAGCGAGUCUGAAUAGGGCGUUUAGUAUUUGGUCGUAGACCCGAAACCAGGUGAUCUACCCUUGGUCAGGUUGAAGUUCAGGUAACACUGAAUGGAGGACCGAACCGACUUACGUUGAAAAGUGAGCGGAUGAACUGAGGGUAGCGGAGAAAUUCCAAUCGAACCUGGAGAUAGCUGGUUCUCUCCGAAAUAGCUUUAGGGCUAGCCUCAAGUGAUGAUUAUUGGAGGUAGAGCACUGUUUGGACGAGGGGCCCCUCUCGGGUUACCGAAUUCAGACAAACUCCGAAUGCCAAUUAAUUUAACUUGGGAGUCAGAACAUGGGUGAUAAGGUCCGUGUUCGAAAGGGAAACAGCCCAGACCACCAGCUAAGGUCCCAAAAUAUAUGUUAAGUGGAAAAGGAUGUGGCGUUGCCCAGACAACUAGGAUGUUGGCUUAGAAGCAGCCAUCAUUUAAAGAGUGCGUAAUAGCUCACUAGUCGAGUGACACUGCGCCGAAAAUGUACCGGGGCUAAACAUAUUACCGAAGCUGUGGAUUGUCCUUUGGACAAUGGUAGGAGAGCGUUCUAAGGGCGUUGAAGCAUGAUCGUAAGGACAUGUGGAGCGCUUAGAAGUGAGAAUGCCGGUGUGAGUAGCGAAAGACGGGUGAGAAUCCCGUCCACCGAUUGACUAAGGUUUCCAGAGGAAGGCUCGUCCGCUCUGGGUUAGUCGGGUCCUAAGCUGAGGCCGACAGGCGUAGGCGAUGGAUAACAGGUUGAUAUUCCUGUACCACCUAUAAUCGUUUUAAUCGAUGGGGGGACGCAGUAGGAUAGGCGAAGCGUGCGAUUGGAUUGCACGUCUAAGCAGUAAGGCUGAGUAUUAGGCAAAUCCGGUACUCAUUAAGGCUGAGCUGUGAUGGGGAGAAGACAUUGUGUCUUCGAGUCGUUGAUUUCACACUGCCGAGAAAAGCCUCUAGAUAGAAAAUAGGUGCCCGUACCGCAAACCGACACAGGUAGUCAAGAUGAGAAUUCUAAGGUGAGCGAGCGAACUCUCGUUAAGGAACUCGGCAAAAUGACCCCGUAACUUCGGGAGAAGGGGUGCUCUUUAGGGUUAACGCCCAGAAGAGCCGCAGUGAAUAGGCCCAAGCGACUGUUUAUCAAAAACACAGGUCUCUGCUAAACCGUAAGGUGAUGUAUAGGGGCUGACGCCUGCCCGGUGCUGGAAGGUUAAGAGGAGUGGUUAGCUUCUGCGAAGCUACGAAUCGAAGCCCCAGUAAACGGCGGCCGUAACUAUAACGGUCCUAAGGUAGCGAAAUUCCUUGUCGGGUAAGUUCCGACCCGCACGAAAGGCGUAACGAUUUGGGCACUGUCUCAACGAGAGACUCGGUGAAAUCAUAGUACCUGUGAAGAUGCAGGUUACCCGCGACAGGACGGAAAGACCCCGUGGAGCUUUACUGUAGCCUGAUAUUGAAAUUCGGCACAGCUUGUACAGGAUAGGUAGGAGCCUUUGAAACGUGAGCGCUAGCUUACGUGGAGGCGCUGGUGGGAUACUACCCUAGCUGUGUUGGCUUUCUAACCCGCACCACUUAUCGUGGUGGGAGACAGUGUCAGGCGGGCAGUUUGACUGGGGCGGUCGCCUCCUAAAAGGUAACGGAGGCGCUCAAAGGUUCCCUCAGAAUGGUUGGAAAUCAUUCAUAGAGUGUAAAGGCAUAAGGGAGCUUGACUGCGAGACCUACAAGUCGAGCAGGGUCGAAAGACGGACUUAGUGAUCCGGUGGUUCCGCAUGGAAGGGCCAUCGCUCAACGGAUAAAAGCUACCCCGGGGAUAACAGGCUUAUCUCCCCCAAGAGUUCACAUCGACGGGGAGGUUUGGCACCUCGAUGUCGGCUCAUCGCAUCCUGGGGCUGUAGUCGGUCCCAAGGGUUGGGCUGUUCGCCCAUUAAAGCGGUACGCGAGCUGGGUUCAGAACGUCGUGAGACAGUUCGGUCCCUAUCCGUCGUGGGCGUAGGAAAUUUGAGAGGAGCUGUCCUUAGUACGAGAGGACCGGGAUGGACAUACCUCUGGUGUACCAGUUGUCGUGCCAACGGCAUAGCUGGGUAGCUAUGUGUGGACGGGAUAAGUGCUGAAAGCAUCUAAGCAUGAAGCCCCCCUCAAGAUGAGAUUUCCCAACUUCGGUUAUAAGAUCCCUCAAAGAU
This 2833-nucleotide ribosomal RNA is filed under the name Staphylococcus aureus. RNAcentral describes it as "partial 23S ribosomal RNA". It matches the Rfam family "Bacterial large subunit ribosomal RNA". Lineage: Bacteria; Bacillati; Bacillota; Bacilli; Caryophanales; Staphylococcaceae. The record is from RNAcentral.